This 83-nucleotide transfer RNA is filed under the name Cordylochernes scorpioides. RNAcentral's name for it is "tRNA-Thr". The stretch from base 7 to 66 matches the Rfam family "tRNA", at positions 7 to 64 of the family's 71-position model. Rfam says of the family: Transfer RNA (tRNA) molecules are approximately 80 nucleotides in length. Lineage: Eukaryota; Metazoa; Arthropoda; Arachnida; Pseudoscorpiones; Chernetidae. The record is from RNAcentral.
AAUAAAGUAGCCUAGUGGACAUGGCAUCUGCCCGGUAAGCGGAACACUGUGGGUUCGAUUCCCAUCCCUGGACACUUUUAUUU